GACGAACGCUGGCGGCGUGCUUAACACAUGCAAGUCGAGCGGUAAGGCCCUUCGGGGUACACGAGCGGCGAACGGGUGAGUAACACGUGAGCAACCUGCCCCUGACUCUGGGAUAAGCGGUGGAAACGCCGUCUAAUACCGGAUACGACCUUCCGCCUCAUGGUGGAGGGUGGAAAGUUUUUUCGGUCAGGGAUGGGCUCGCGGCCUAUCAGCUUGUUGGUGGGGUAACGGCCUACCAAGGCGAUUACGGGUAGCCGGCCUGAGAGGGCGACCGGCCACACUGGGACUGAGACACGGCCCAGACUCCUGCGGGAGGCAGCAGUGGGGAAUAUUGCGCAAUGGGCGAAAGCCUGACGCAGCGACGCCGCGUGGGGGAUGACGGCCUUCGGGUUGUAAACCUCUUUUACCACCAACGCAGGCUCCGGGUUCUCUCGGGGUUGACGGUAGGUGGGGAAUAAGGACCGGCUAACUACGU
Molecule: ribosomal RNA, 475 nt
Filed under: Nocardiopsis sp. 13-4
Lineage: Bacteria; Bacillati; Actinomycetota; Actinomycetes; Streptosporangiales; Nocardiopsidaceae
Description: bacterial SSU rRNA
Rfam family: Bacterial small subunit ribosomal RNA
Source: RNAcentral